This 343-nucleotide ribosomal RNA is filed under the name uncultured fungus. RNAcentral's name for it is "SSU rRNA". It matches the Rfam family "Eukaryotic small subunit ribosomal RNA", at positions 28 to 371 of the family's 1831-position model. The record is from RNAcentral. Lineage: Eukaryota; Fungi.
AUGCUUGUCUCAAAGAUUAAGCCAUGCACGUCUGAGAAUAAAGAGUUUUCUCUGAAUCUGCGAAUGGCUCAUUAUAUCAGUUAUAGUUUAUUUGAUAGUCCUUUACUACUUGGAUAACCGUAGUAAUUCUAGAGCUAAUACAUGCAUCAACUCCCAACUGCUUGUCGGACGGGAUGUAUUUAUUAGAUAGAAACCAAUGCGGGGCAACCCGGUAUUGUGGUGAAUCAUGAUAACUUUGCGGAUCGCUAGCUUCGGCCAGCGACGAAUCAUUCAAGUUUCUGCCCUAUCAGCUUUGGAUGGUAGGGUAUUGGCCUACCAUGGCUCCAACGGGUAACGGGGAAUA